Molecule: ribosomal RNA, 285 nt
Filed under: Triticum aestivum (bread wheat)
Lineage: Eukaryota; Viridiplantae; Streptophyta; Magnoliopsida; Poales; Poaceae
Description: partial small subunit ribosomal RNA
Source: RNAcentral
GGUUGCAAUCCUCUUCUUGUUAAUUCUUACAAUAUGGAGGUGAUUGAAGUAAUGAAAAAUGGAGGACAUUCGGCGGGAGCGGCGGCAACAGUGUUUGAUGAUUGCUAUUUCAUAGCUUGUGAUUUCCCGCUUGUUAGAUUUGAACAUUAUAAUAGGGAAGCAAAUAAGGUGGCUCAUGAUAUUGCUAGGCUAGCAAAAAUUUCAGUCACUACGGACUGGUUUGAGGAUCCUAUGAGGGACACUGUUCAUUUACUUAUUGACGAUGUAAAAAAUAUUUCUAAUUAA